Molecule: non-coding RNA, 44 nt
Filed under: Schistosoma mansoni
Lineage: Eukaryota; Metazoa; Platyhelminthes; Trematoda; Strigeidida; Schistosomatidae
Source: RNAcentral
AUCCAGCUACGAGUCCCGAAUAGGACGAAACGUGCGUUCUAGAU